GGGGUCGGUCUCCUUCUUCAGCAUCUGGUUCUUCUUCUCCGGUGAGGGCAGGUGUGACUAAGGUUAGGGUUCUCUGAGACGCGAUAUUUAAAUACCCAUUCUGCAUUGAUCUAGGUCGUCCGUUCAUGCUGACAUGGAGCGAGAAGAGUCGUCUGAUCGUUGCCUGUUUAGACCGAUUGCAUGGUCGAAUCUAGAUCGUUCAUCGUGAU
Molecule: long non-coding RNA, 209 nt
Filed under: Carica papaya (papaya)
Lineage: Eukaryota; Viridiplantae; Streptophyta; Magnoliopsida; Brassicales; Caricaceae
Description: long non-coding RNA (CPAP_LNC010378)
Source: RNAcentral